RNAcentral lists this ribosomal RNA (440 nucleotides) under uncultured bacterium. RNAcentral describes it as "partial 16S ribosomal RNA". It matches the Rfam family "Bacterial small subunit ribosomal RNA", at positions 338 to 795 of the family's 1533-position model. The record is from RNAcentral.
CCUACGGGCGGCUGCAGUGGGGAAUAUUGGACAAUGGUGGGAACCCUGAUCCAGCGACGCCGCGUGAGUGAAGAAGUAUUUCGGUAUGUAAAGCUCUAUCAGCAGGGAAGAAAAUGACGGUACCUGACUAAGAAGCCCCGGCUAACUACGUGCCAGCAGCCGCGGUAAUACGGAGGGGGCAAGCGUUAUCCGGAGUUACCGGGUGUAAAGGGAGCGUAGUCGGUUGAGCAAGUCUGAUGUGAAAGGGCGGGGCCCAACCCCGGACCUGCAUGGGAAACUGUGACGCGGGAGUGCAGGAGAGGUAAGCGGAAUUCCUGGUGUAGCGGUGAAAUGCGUAGAUAUCAGGAGGAACACCGGUGGCGAAGGCGGCUUACUGGACUGUAACUGACGUUGAGGCUCGAAAGCGUGGGGAGCGAACAGGAUUAGAUACCCGAGUAGUC